RNAcentral lists this ribosomal RNA (305 nucleotides) under uncultured bacterium. RNAcentral describes it as "bacterial SSU rRNA". It matches the Rfam family "Bacterial small subunit ribosomal RNA", at positions 332 to 637 of the family's 1533-position model. The record is from RNAcentral.
UAUAGCCUACGGGACGCAGCAGUGAGGAAUAUUGGUCAAUGGGCGAGAGCCUGAACCAGCCAAGUCGCGUGAGGGAGUACUGCCCCAUGGGUUGUAAACCUCUUUUGUCGGGGAGCAAAAGCCGGACGUGUCCGUCUGUGAGAGUACCCGAAGAAAAAGCAUCGGCUAACUCCGUGCCAGCAGCCGCGGUAAUACGGAGGAUGCGAGCGUUAUCCGGAUUUAUUGGGUUUAAAGGGUGCGCAGGCGGAUUUUUAAGUCAGCGGUCAAAUCGUGGGGCUCAACCUCAUCCAGCCGUUGAAACUGGG